AUAAAGUUUUAUUCUUUCUUAAAAUUUUGUAAAAAUUACUAAUAUUGUAUGAAGUGAUUUAAGGUAGUUUAGAAGAUUAAAUGUAAUAAUGAGAUGAAAAUUUAUAUGAUGGGUAAUUAAAUCUCAGCAAUGAUUAUUAAAUAAUGGGAGGAAUUCUGAUUUAGUAGUAAUUUAAGGCUUGAUAAAAUAUUGUGCCAGCAGUCGCGGUUAGACUUUGAAGUCAAGCAAAAUUUAUUAGUGGUUAGUUAAAGUUGAAAUAAUUGAAAUAUUUUUAUGAGAUAAAGAGUGGAAUCAAGUAUGUUGAAUAUAAAAGUUUAAAAAUUAUUAAUAUUGAAGCUAAAAAAAAUUAGAUUUAAACUAGGAUUAGAUACCCUAUUAUACUAAAAUUUUUGGUCAGCACUAAAGUAUUAUGAGAUGGAGUCUUUAAAUUUUAAGAAUUUGGCGGUAAUUUAGUCUUUUCAGAGGAACCUGUUUUUGAAUCGAUAAACCACGAAAUAUCUUACUUAUCUUAAAACUAAUUUAUAAAUUAAGGUUUGUAUACCGUCAUUAUCAGAUAAUAUUUAGAGAUAUAAUUAUUUAAUCUUAAAUAGUAAAGAAAAUUAGAUCAAGGUGCAGCUUAUGGAUAAGUUAAAAUGGGUUACAAUUAAGUUUUAUAUAAUGAUGGAAUAAAAGUUGAAAUACUUUUAGGAAGGAGGAUUUGAUUGUAAGUUGAGUUAGUGAGGUAAGAAGAUAUAAGCUCUAAAUUAUGUACAUAUCGCCCGUCGCUUUCGUUAUAAAGAUGGAAUAAGUCGUAACAUAGUAGAUUUACUGGAAAGUGAGUCUAGAUUU
This 828-nucleotide non-coding RNA is filed under the name Leptomithrax sp. QNL-2021. The record is from RNAcentral. Lineage: Eukaryota; Metazoa; Arthropoda; Malacostraca; Decapoda; Majidae.